This 1243-nucleotide ribosomal RNA is filed under the name metagenome. RNAcentral describes it as "bacterial LSU rRNA". It matches the Rfam family "Bacterial large subunit ribosomal RNA", at positions 1564 to 2816 of the family's 2925-position model. The record is from RNAcentral.
UGAGUACGAGACGCUAAGGCGUUGAAGCAGUCUAUGUCAGACUUCCAAGAAAAGCUCGCAAUGUCAUAACAAAAAAUGCCUGUACCAUAACCGACACAGGUGGGUAGGUAGAGUAUACUAAGGGGCGCGAGAUAACUCUCUCUAAGGAACUCGGCAAAAUGACUCCGUAACUUCGGGAGAAGGAGUGCCUUAUUUUUAUAAGGUUGCAAUAACAAGAUCCAAGCAACUGUUUACCAAAAACACAGGUCUCCGCUAAGUCGUAAGACGAUGUAUGGGGGCUGACGCCUGCCCAGUGCCAGAAGGUUAAAGAAGUUGGUUAGUUUCGGCGAAGCUGAUGACUGAAGCCCUGGUGAACGGCGGCCGUAACUAUAACGGUCCUAAGGUAGCGAAAUUCCUUGUCGGGUAAGUUCCGACCCGCACGAAAGGCGUAAUGAUUUGGAUACUGUCUCGGAGAGGGGCUCGGUGAAAUAGACUUGUCUGUGAAGAUGCGGACUACCUGCACCUGGACAGAAAGACCCUAUGAAGCUUUACUGUAACUUGAGAUUGAAAUUGGACUUUAUUUGCGCAGUAUAGGUGGGAGACGUUGAGAAUAUUCUUGCGGGAAUAUUGGAGUCAUCAGAGGGAUACCACUCUUGUAAUGUUAGAUUUCUAACUUUGUAUCAUGAUCUGGUCAAAGGACAGUUUCAGGCGGGCAGUUUGACUGGGGCGGUCGCCUCCCAAACGGUAACGGAGGCGCACAAAGGUUUCCUCUGAACGUGUAGAAAUCGUAUCUAGAGUGUAAAGGCAUAAGGAAGCUUGACUGUGAGACCUACAAGUCGAGCAGGGACGAAAGUCGGUCUUAGUGAUCUGACGGUGCUGAGUGGAAAGGCCGUCACUCAACGGAUAAAAGUUACUCUAGGAUAACAGGCUGAUCUCCCCCAAGAGUUCACAUCGACGGGGAGGUUUGGCACCUCGAUGUCGGCUCAUCGCAUCCUGGGGCGGUAGUACGUCCCAAGGGUUGGGCUGUUCGCCCAUGAAAGCGGUACGCGAGCUGGGUUCAGAACGUCGUGAGACAGUUCGGUCCAUAUCCGGUGUAGGCGUUAGAAUAUUGAGAGGAGCCUUCUUUAGUACGAGAGGACCGAGAAGGACAUACCUCUGGUGUACCAGUUAUCGUGCCAACGGUAAACGCUGGGUAGCUAUGUAUGGAGUGGAUAACCGCUGAAAGCAUCUAAGUGGGAAGCCCACCUCAAGAUAAGUAUUCUCA